Molecule: long non-coding RNA, 1068 nt
Organism: Acromyrmex echinatior (Panamanian leafcutter ant)
Lineage: Eukaryota; Metazoa; Arthropoda; Insecta; Hymenoptera; Formicidae
Gene: svp
Source: RefSeq, a predicted model, not a curated record
UAUUAUAUAAUACACUUAAAAAUUAGAUAUCUGUUGCUUUAUAAGAAUAUUUUCUUUCACGUUGAAAGAUACAACCAUUGCGUGUCAAUCAUAGUUCGUGAACAAUUCGAAUAUCCGAUAUUUCAGCAAUUGUUAAGAAACAUCUCGAAUUUAAUUUCUAUAUUAAAUAACUUUUGCUGCAAUAUUCGUUGCAUUUUCUACUUUUAUUUCCCUUGCCUCCUUUCUGCUUUCAAAAAUUGAAUAAAACUUCAUCUUCCAUGUAACUCAAAAAGGCGCGAAACGAAAGUGACUAGAUUUAAUUGUCGCGACGUAAUUGGUUCAUCGUUCGGACGUCCACCAAUCACAGACGUCGUAGCUCGGUGGUUUCGCGCCACUCGCAGUCAGUCAUGGCCGCGUCGCGACAAAUGGAUGAGUUGUGUUUGCGUUGCUCCGUGUUUUUCACGUUCGUUACCGUUCAAGAGCGAAUCUCGCGCAUCAGAAAUGAUUAUAAACGUCUUCCGCGCCGUAUCAGACGUUUAUCGCGAUGCAAGCGUUGCCCGCAAUCGGCUGAUAGACGCGAAUAUCGCAAAUAUACCGAACCGUUUGGAUGAUUGUUUGCGCGCUUGCGAACAAGCACCCGCCAUUUUACUUGAGAUACCACGAAGACGCGAUCAUUGCUUGGUAUAAUCGUACGUGUCAUAUAUAUAAGCAUGAUUAAUCGUUAUAUUCGGCACAGAAGGUCUCCAACAGCAUUUCAUCGACCGCUGCGUUCAAAAUCUAUGGAAUCGUCUUGGUGCUUCCGUAUAGGCAGAUCGUGGUCACAUGACUCGACCGUUAUUUGCAAAUGGCGUGACGUCUGAGUUCGUGCGGCGUUUUUAACAUCGUUUGAAUAAUGAAAAGAGAAUCUCUUAUUGAUAUUUAAAAGUAAUCUGGGACAAUGAUGUUGAAAGUUAUAUAAUGAAAUAUCAUAAUGUACAAUGUAAUAAUAGGAAAUAUACAAUUUGUAUAUCGGAGCACAUGAAGCAAUUCAAAUAGAAUCUUCACUGCGAAUUCCUUUUAUAUCAUUUUGGAAAGGAUCUCAAACUUGAA